RNAcentral lists this ribosomal RNA (211 nucleotides) under uncultured bacterium. RNAcentral's name for it is "partial 16S ribosomal RNA". It matches the Rfam family "Bacterial small subunit ribosomal RNA", at positions 1282 to 1500 of the family's 1533-position model. The record is from RNAcentral.
CCUGUCCCAGUUCGGACUGGAGUCUGCAACCCGACUCCACGAAGUUGGAUUCGCUAGUAAUCGCGCAUCAGCCAUGGCGCGGUGAAUACGUUCCCGGGCCUUGUACACACCGCCCGUCAAGCCAUGGGAGCCGGGGGCGCCUGAAGUCCGGGACCGCGAGGACCGGCCUAGGGCGAAACUGGUAACUGGGGCUAAGUCGUAACAAGGUAGC